AACGAACGCUGGCGGCAUGCCUAACACAUGCAAGUCGAACGAGACCUUCGGGUCUAGUGGCGCACGGGUGCGUAACGCGUGGGAACCUGCCCUUAGGUUCGGAAUAACUCCCCGAAAGGGGUGCUAAUACCGGAUAAUGUCUUCGGACCAAAGAUUUAUCGCCUUUGGAUGGGCCCGCGUUGGAUUAGCUAGUUGGUAGGGUAAAAGCCUACCAAGGCGACGAUCCAUAGCUGGUCUGAGAGGAUGAUCAGCCACACUGGGACUGAGACACGGCCCAGACUCCUACGGGAGGCAGCAGUGGGGGAUAUUGGACAAUGGGCGAAAGCAUGAUCCAGCAAUGCCGCGUGAGUGAUGAAGGCCUUAGGGUUGUAAAGCUCUUUUACCCGGGAUGAUAAUGACAGUACCGGGAGAAUAAGCUCCGGCUAACUCCGUG
RNAcentral lists this ribosomal RNA (433 nucleotides) under uncultured bacterium. Its description in RNAcentral is "partial 16S ribosomal RNA". It matches the Rfam family "Bacterial small subunit ribosomal RNA", at positions 29 to 507 of the family's 1533-position model. The record is from RNAcentral.